GUAACUAGUACGGAUCGUCAUGUCGUCCGUUCGUGCCGACCAUUAUUUGCAUAAUAAUAAAUUGUAAUAACCCUUACUUAUUAAUUACCUACGUUUUACGUUUUCACAGUUCCUAAUUAUAUCUGGUUAUCACUCUGCUGCCUUACAAUUAGCAAUUUUUUUUCUAGCGAAAAUUAGUGUUUUGCGGGGUUUGAUUCGCGCUAUUUGUUCUGGUCCUAUGCUGUUGAAUUUGAAUUCAUACUCUCCUCACAAGAUUAAUCCGAAAAUAGGGGGUAAUUUCGAAAAACUUUCAAAA
Molecule: non-coding RNA, 295 nt
Organism: Bemisia tabaci
Lineage: Eukaryota; Metazoa; Arthropoda; Insecta; Hemiptera; Aleyrodidae
Source: RefSeq, a predicted model, not a curated record